Molecule: ribosomal RNA, 467 nt
Filed under: uncultured Chloroflexota bacterium
Lineage: Bacteria; Bacillati; Chloroflexota
Description: bacterial SSU rRNA
Rfam family: Bacterial small subunit ribosomal RNA
Source: RNAcentral
GAUGAACGCUGGCGGCGUGCCUAAUACAUGCAAGUCGAACGGGAUCCCAAGAUUUCGGUUUUGGGUGAGAGUGGCGCACGGGUGAGUAACACGUAGCUGACCUGCCCUUUGCUGGGGGAUAACCCGGGGAAACCCGGGCUAAUACCGCGUAAGCUCAAUGGUCUUAGAAGCCAUUGAGGAAAGUGUAUGGCAACGGCGAAGGAGGGGGCUGCGGGCCAUCAGCUAGUUGGUGAGGUAACGGCUCACCAAGGCGAAGACGGCUAGGGGACCUGAGAGGGUGACCCCCCACACUGGGACUGAGACACGGCCCAGACUCCUACGGGAGGCAGCAGUAAGGAAUAUUGCCCAAUGGACGCCAGUCUGAGGCAGCAACGCCGCGUGGAGGAUGACGGUCUUCGGAUUGUAAACUCCUUUUCUGUGUGAAAGAGCAGGACGGUAGCACAGGAAGAAGUCUCGGCUAACUACGU